Molecule: small RNA, 82 nt
Filed under: Vibrio chagasii
Lineage: Bacteria; Pseudomonadati; Pseudomonadota; Gammaproteobacteria; Vibrionales; Vibrionaceae
Description: isrK
Rfam family: isrK Hfq binding RNA
Source: RNAcentral
UCAUUGGCAAAAUCCAAUGACAGGUUUGGUCACCUGAAAUUUUUAUACAGGCGCAUAGACGCCAGCUUGUUGCUGGUUUUUU